RNAcentral lists this ribosomal RNA (494 nucleotides) under uncultured bacterium. Its description in RNAcentral is "partial 16S ribosomal RNA". It matches the Rfam family "Bacterial small subunit ribosomal RNA", at positions 28 to 506 of the family's 1533-position model. The record is from RNAcentral.
GACGAACGCUGGCGGCGUGCCUAAUACAUGCAAGUAGAACGCUGAAGGAGGAGCUUGCUUCUCUGGAUGAGUUGCGAACGGGUGAGUAACGCGUAGGUAACCUGCCUGGUAGCGGGGGAUAACUAUUGGAAACGAUAGCUAAUACCGCAUAAGAGUAGAUGUUGCAUGACAUUUGCUUAAAAGGUGCAAUUGCAUCACUACCAGAUGGACCUGCGUUGUAUUAGCUAGUUGGUGGGGUAACGGCUCACCAAGGCGACGAUACAUAGCCGACCUGAGAGGGUGAUCGGCCACACUGGGACUGAGGCACGGCCCAGACUCCUACGGGAGGCAGCAGUAGGGAAUCUUCGGCAAUGGACGGAAGUCUGACCGAGCAACGCCGCGUGAGUGAAGAAGGUUUUCGGAUCGUAAAGCUCUGUUGUAAGAGAAGAACGAGUGUGAGAGUGGAAAGUUCACACUGUGACGGUAUCUUACCAGAAAGGGACGGCUAACUACGU